UUUCCCACGACCUCGGCGCGACGCGCGCGGGAUCCAGUGGAGACUGCUUUCCCAUAGGCCGCCAUCCAGGGCGGGGAAGGGAGCGGACCCUCCCGGCUCCAGGUGCCUGGGCCCCCGGCGGCCUGCGGAGGCCUCGCCCCACGCCACCCGCCCACUGGCCUCGUCUUCGCGCGGGGAGAAAAGCAGCCUGAUUCGGAGGAACGGGUUGCUUGGGGCGGCUCCCAGCUCGAGUUGUGGGCCCCGCCGCGGGUGCCCUUCGGAAACGCGCUGACACCAGGCGAAGCCGCCUCUGCCCGGACGCAGCCCGACACUUGGCCCGCGGGGUUCCCCGGGACGCCUGAGAGUAAUGGGCGCGAGGGGGAAAGCCGAACGGCCUCCCUGUGCCCGGCGCAGGCGGUGCCCCCUAGCUGGGUUCGCCGCGGCGGCGCUGCGAGCCCCCGACACUGAGGACUUUUGGUCCAACAGUCCGACGGGGCCCGGUGCGCCGUUCCCUCCGCCCUCUCCCCGCUCCCCGGCCCGCGCGUCUUGGAGGGUGGGUGAAUUGUCGGAAGCACUCUACGCCUGGCCAACCCAAACCAGGAACCUCCGCACCAAACAGCCCACGUUGCUGCUGCUCUGGGGUUUUAACGGCCAAGGGAGACUGGAGAAGGGGUGUUCUGCCUUCCCAUUCUCUUAGGCCCGUCCACUCCCCAUCCCCACAGUUUGGAAGUGGCCUUUUCUGAGGACUCCAGCGCAAAGCAUGUUUCUCCUUUUGAGCUGCGGAAGCCUUGCUUGUUCCCGCCAUUGGGAGGGCAUUCCAUCAUCUGCAGCUGCCUUCCUCGGUGGGCCUUGUCCCUUAGCGUCCACCUAGGGGACAUUCUAAGC
RNAcentral lists this long non-coding RNA (864 nucleotides) under Homo sapiens (human). Its description in RNAcentral is "non-protein coding LINC00092:6". The record is from RNAcentral. Lineage: Eukaryota; Metazoa; Chordata; Mammalia; Primates; Hominidae.